AUUUAGAGGAAAUUUUUGAGCUGAACAGUAUUUUUUUUCUCCCUCUCUCUCUCUCUGAAAUAUUGCUGAGAUUUAAAGGAGGACGAAGACAACAGAUUCAUAGCUGGGUCUUGCUGUUUUCCUGACGCUGACCACAGCGGAUCUAGUUUCUCUGCAGAAGACAGCAAGAUGCCCCAGGGAAUGUUUGUGAAAAAGGAUGACUGGAUGGGAAGCAAGCUGAAGAAAAAGAAGGAAAGAAAGAGAGAAAUCAGUAAAUCACCACACAAGAGGUGGAGAAGAGGACUUAUAAAUAUUGUUUCUAUGACAUUUGAAAAUAAAUGUUUUACUCCAUGCUAAUAGUGAAUGUGAUGUCUUCAGUUUGAAGGGCUUUAAGUGAAGCUCAUUAAAACCCACUAUUUUCCA
This 402-nucleotide long non-coding RNA is filed under the name Homo sapiens (human). RNAcentral's name for it is "non-protein coding lnc-CCDC140-1:5". The record is from RNAcentral. Lineage: Eukaryota; Metazoa; Chordata; Mammalia; Primates; Hominidae.